UGUUUCCUACGGGGGGCAGCAGAGAGGAAAAUUGGUGAAUGGAUGCAAGUCUGAACCAGCCAAGUAGCGUGCAGGAUGACGGCCCUCCGGGCUGUAAACUGCUUUUAGUUGGGAAUAAAAGGGGGCUCGUGAGCCCCGUAUUGUAUGUACCAUCAGAAAAAGGACCGGCUAAUUCCGUGCCAGCAGCCGCGGUAAUACGGAAGGUCCGGGCGUUAUCCGGAUUUAUUGGGUUUAAAGGGAGCGUAGGCCGGCUUUUAAGUCAGCUGUGAAAGUCCGCGGCUCAACCGUGGAAUUG
RNAcentral lists this ribosomal RNA (295 nucleotides) under uncultured bacterium. Its description in RNAcentral is "partial 16S ribosomal RNA". It matches the Rfam family "Bacterial small subunit ribosomal RNA", at positions 333 to 623 of the family's 1533-position model. The record is from RNAcentral.